GGCCAGUAAUUCACCGAGACUGUCGUUAGCUGAAGCUAACAAGCUGAAGCUACAAUAAAAUCGUAUUCUACUGGCGUUCAUGAGUGUUGCCCAACGUGUUUAACCGGACGGCACGUCCGUGUAAAAGCACUCGGCAGUAAAAUUAA
Xiphophorus couchianus (Monterrey platyfish) is the source of this 146-nucleotide long non-coding RNA. RefSeq lists it as uncharacterized. The record is from RefSeq and is a predicted model, not a curated record. NCBI's taxonomy places the organism in Eukaryota, Metazoa, Chordata, Actinopteri, Cyprinodontiformes, Poeciliidae. The transcript has 2 exons.